GUGCUUUUUCAGAAUAAAUAUUCCUAAUGUGUUGGCGUUUGAGUAUUUGUGUAAUAUUCAACCAGAUACAGGUGCAUAGUGUAUUGGAACCCUGUGUUAAUACAAAAGCUACCACAAAAGCAUGUGUAGGUGUAACGCAAUGUCCGUUUUGACAGUGGUUGAGUUGAAGUGUCAAGUUUAUUUAGGUCAUGUAUCUUGUAUGACAGAGACCCAGCAGAGCAUAUAUAACUGAAGUAGGUAUAUUCUAAGUUUAGAAGCGCUCACUGUCCUCCAGUGCGAAUCACAUGGCAUAUUAUUCAGAGAGAGAACGUUUUUUUGUUUUUAAGAUUACUAAUGACAUCGUCAAUCAGGAAAGUUACUCCCAAGUCGCAACUCACAAGAGGGCAAACAGGUGACGCUGAGUAGCUGCUGAUGUCACGGGAUUAUAAAGUGAGCGACUUCAGCUCUGGUUUCAUUCAUUUCUUCUCUAACCUCGAGAUCUCACGGAGUUGCCCUUUUCGCUCACCGACAGACACGAAGAUGAAUAAGCUGUGUUUGGUUUACCUUGUUCUCCUGUUGUCUGUCCACCUUGCAUCAGAGGUGGUCGGCGACAACACGACGAGCGCUACGACCUCCAGCCCGAACUCCACGACGACUAAAAACUCCACGAACGUCGCGGGGACGCGCGAGCCGGUGACGCUGCUGCUGCUGCCGCUGGCGCUGGGGGCCACGCUGCUCCACAGCCUGCCGUGAGCGCCGGCGUGGCUCUGCAAUGGACACGCGAGUGGCGCGGCGGGGCGCAACGCCGAACAAGAGGUGUCAUUGCAAACACGUUGUGGAUUCUAGUCGGCGUUUGGAAAGAUGCGCUCUUUAAGGCACAAACCUCGGACGCGCCCUGCUGCUCUUUUCAGGGAUCGUCCGUGGGGAAACUGGAGUCGCUUUGAGGUGUGGGCCGACGUUUGCUUCAAUGGGCUAAGAAUUCACCACCACGAAUACUGUCUAUUGCUGAAUUUUGGAAAAGUUACAAAUUCUAGAAAUUGGAAUUUUAUGCAUUUUAGGUUUAAUUUGCAAACGUAUAAUAAAGCUUUAAAAUGAA
This is a long non-coding RNA of Betta splendens (Siamese fighting fish), 1075 nucleotides long. RefSeq lists it as uncharacterized. The transcript has 2 exons. The record is from RefSeq and is a predicted model, not a curated record. NCBI's taxonomy places the organism in Eukaryota, Metazoa, Chordata, Actinopteri, Anabantiformes, Osphronemidae.